CAGUCGCCGCGGUAAUACAGAGGGUGCGAGCGUUAAUCGGAUUUACUGGGCGUAAAGCGUGCGUAGGCGGCUUCUUAAGUCGGAUGUGAAAUCCCUGAGCUUAACUUAGGAAUUGCAUUCGAUACUGGGAAGCUAGAGUAUGGGAGAGGAUGGUAGAAUUCCAGGUGUAGCGGUGAAAUGCGUAGAGAUCUGGAGGAAUACCGAUGGCGAAGGCAGCCAUCUGGCCUAAUACUGACGCUGAGGUACGAAAGCAUGGGGAGCAAACAGGAUUAGAGACCCCCGUAGUCCCUGUCUCUUAUAU
RNAcentral lists this ribosomal RNA (301 nucleotides) under uncultured bacterium. Its description in RNAcentral is "partial 16S ribosomal RNA". It matches the Rfam family "Bacterial small subunit ribosomal RNA", at positions 509 to 809 of the family's 1533-position model. The record is from RNAcentral.